CCUACGGGAGGCAGCAGUAAGGAAUAUUGGUCAAUGGGCGCAAGCCUGAACCAGCCAUGCCGCGUGCAGGAAGACGGCCCUACGGGUUGUAAACUGCUUUUGUACCGGAAUAAACCCUUUUACGUGUAAGAGGCUGAAUGUACGGUAAGAAUAAGGAUCGGCUAACUCCGUGCCAGCAGCCGCGGUAAUACGGAGGAUCCAAGCGUUAUCCGGAUUUAUUGGGUUUAAAGGGUGCGUAGGUGGCUUUUUAAGUCAGGGGUGAAAGACGGUAGCUUAACUAUCGCAGUGCCUUUGAUACUGAAGAGCUUGAAUGAACUAGAGGUAGGCGGAAUGUGACAAGUAGCGGUGAAAUGCAUAGAUAUGUCACAGAACACCAAUUGCGAAGGCAGCUUACUAUGGUUUUAAUUGACACUGAGGCACGAAAGCGUGGGGAUCAAACAGGAUUAGAUACCCUGGUAGUCCACGCCCUAAACGAUGAAUACUCGAUGUUGGCGAUAUACGUACGUCGUCGUACGUACGACGAACGUACGUUAAGUUACUUACCGUACCGUACGGGUACGGUACCGGCCGACCGACGGGUACGGUAAACGUUAAAGUAAGUAAGUAGUACGGCGUAGAGACGACGACGACGACGACGACGAGGGAGGAGG
RNAcentral lists this ribosomal RNA (650 nucleotides) under uncultured bacterium. RNAcentral describes it as "bacterial SSU rRNA". The stretch from base 1 to 544 matches the Rfam family "Bacterial small subunit ribosomal RNA", at positions 338 to 873 of the family's 1533-position model. The record is from RNAcentral.